This 445-nucleotide long non-coding RNA is filed under the name Equus caballus (horse). RNAcentral's name for it is "lncRNA (ENSECAG00000049190.1)". The record is from RNAcentral. Lineage: Eukaryota; Metazoa; Chordata; Mammalia; Perissodactyla; Equidae.
AUUCUGUGACCGUGUGGCAUAGAAUUUUUGGCACAGUUCACAGAGGUCCUACUUGUUAACAGCCUCUUGUUGCCCACCACUUCCAGAGAGCAAACCAUGGGAGUUUUUCAGUCCGAAGUGAGCAGCCUUGAAAUCUGUGGCCGGCUGUCUUUGAGGGCAGUUGCUGGGAAAGAAGCUAGCUGCUGUCUAGACCCCGGGGCCCACGGCGGGCUGGGGAUCAUGUGCAAUCGGUCCAGCAAUGGUCGGUUCGAGGCCCUCUCUUGGGCAUCCCUGUGGCUAUAUCCAACUUCAAGUUGGCUGCAGAUCCACUGUGUGUCCUCUUCAUUCCGGGACCCAGGCUGAUGAAAUGAAUGCUCUGGAAGGUGGUCAUUCUUGUGGCAGAGGGAAAAAAAAGAGAUCUUGGAGAAGCACCUCCUGGCUCUUAAAACUUCCACCUGGAAGUGAC